UUCCGUUUCUGUUUUCGGUAAAGAGGCAAAUUGUUUUCUCCAUUUACAUAAAUUUGCUUAUGAAUUUUAAUUUUUUUUAAUAUAAGCUUGGGAGUUUUAAAAUAUAACGCGGCUUCAAGCUUAUCUUUGCGAACAUUUUUCCAAAUUAUCAAUACCUAUAGUAAAUCUUUUUUUUCUUUUAUAGAUAAAUCUUUCCGUUUACUCAGCGUAAUGAAAGACAAAUUUUUGAACGGGAACUACAACAAUUAUACCUACUUAACGACGGGAUGUAUGUCGAUACACUCUUAAGUUUAAAAAGAUGAAACUUAGCAGCCUACUUAUAUCCGUGACAGUGUAACACUGAUGUCUUAGGUAUACCUAUAUUUACAUGCAGGAUCAUAAAAGGAUGUUUUAGGCUAACAACUACAUACAGUGACAUGUAUCGUACAAAAAAUCGGUGUUGCCGCCGCUCAAAUUAUUUUAGGUGUUGCCUGAACAACAAUUGGACCCUAUAUAUGUGACACGCCACUGUGACUACAUACAAUAGUAGUUAUACCUUCUAGCAGGCACUGCUUCGCCCAAAAUUAGAAGACAUGUAAGUCGUGUAAAUGCUGACAUUGAAAAAACCAAACAAGAAAAUGUUAAAAUGUAUGUUGUUAAGAAACGCAGAUGCAAUAACAAUAAAUGGUAAUACAUAUAGCCAUACGAGGUAUAGGUAUCGUAUAGGUAAGUGCCCAUAGAGAACAAAUUAUUUUAAUAAAAUUGAAUUACUUUUAUUAAAAUUCUGUAUUAGCUAUAAUUACCUACGUGUUCUAUUUUUUGUAAGUAUAUUUUUUUCUGUGACAUACCUAAGGUGAUAACUGAUAACAGUCAGCUAUAUUAUAUGAAAUAAUAUUAUAAUUUAUAAUAUUUAUUAUAUUACAUAUAGGUAGUCGGUAAGUAGGUCGUUAUAGUUGUGGUAUACUAGCUGGUACCUAUGUGAUUUGAUUUUGGCAAAAUAUGAUUAUUAUUUAUUAUAAUUUAUAAUGUAUACUGAUAUUAGAUAUAAUAAGUUAAAUAUAAAGUUAAACUAAUUUAUACCAUUGAUUUUGCUUAUACCUAAUUUGCUUUCAACAGAAAGUAAAAUAGUCUUGAUUUCUUUGUAUUGUAUCUAUAUAAGUGCGUUAUAUUAAUACAAUUUUGUAGAUUAUUUUAUAGGGUUUGAUGUAUUGGAUAUAUUGAACAUUAUACCUUGUCCCUUAGGAUUUAGUAUAUACCAACAUUCCAAUAAUAUAAUUCCGUAGUGGGGAUGCGAGUGCAAACUUUGGCCGCGUGGUGGCGUCAUUUACUCGAGAGUCGAUACUUUGAGUCUAGGCCACGGCUAUAGAUAAUAGUAGUCGACUAUUAUCUAUAGCCAUGUUCUAUACUCGAUAGCUGGUCUGUUAAACGUAAUAUUGUAAUAACUAUAGUAUAACUACAUAUAUCGAUACACGUGGUUUAUUGAUGUAAUAUAAUAUAUUUGGAAACAAGAAAUAAAGUCACAACAAAAACCCUAAUGUUGUUCGGUGUAAAACAAAAAACUUUGAGCACUUAAAAGUUGUGAUAUAAUAAAACCAAAAGUAUUAGUAUUCAGUAGUAAGUACUAUCUAUACCUAAUAGUACUCAGUACUCACUCGUAUCACUCAGUAGUCAUUACUGUAAUUAUUUAAUUUCCGAGAACAUUUUUAAACAAAAAAUUAAAUAUUUAAUAAUAUUAAGUUAGGUUUUAA
RNAcentral lists this long non-coding RNA (1727 nucleotides) under Acyrthosiphon pisum (pea aphid). RNAcentral's name for it is "uncharacterized LOC107885137, transcript variant X1". Lineage: Eukaryota; Metazoa; Arthropoda; Insecta; Hemiptera; Aphididae. The record is from RNAcentral.